UGGGGAAUAUUGGACAAUGGGGGCAACCCUGAUCCAGCAAUGCCGCGUGUGUGAAGAAGGUCUUCGGAUUGUAAAGCACUUUCGACGGGGACGAUGAUGACGGUACCCGUAGAAGAAGCCCCGGCUAACUUCGCGCCAGCAGCCGCGGUAAUACGAAGGGGGCUAGCGUUGCUCGGAAUGACUGGGCGUAAAGGGCGUGUAGGCGGUUUACACAGUCAGAUGUGAAAUCCCCGGGCUUAACCUGGGAGCUGCAUUUGAUACGUGUAGACUAGAGUGUGAGAGAGGGUUGUGGAAUUCCCAGUGUAGAGGUGAAAUUCGUAGAUAUUGGGAAGAACACCGGUGGCGAAGGCGGCAACCUGGCUCAUGACUGACGCUGAGGCGCGAAAGCGUGGGGAGCAAACAGGAUUAGAUACCCUGGUAGUCCACGCCUGUAAACGAUGUGUGCUAGAUGUUGGGUAACUUUGUUAUUCAGUGUCGCAGUUAACGCGUUAAG
RNAcentral lists this ribosomal RNA (493 nucleotides) under uncultured bacterium. Its description in RNAcentral is "partial 16S ribosomal RNA". It matches the Rfam family "Bacterial small subunit ribosomal RNA", at positions 355 to 864 of the family's 1533-position model. The record is from RNAcentral.